RNAcentral lists this transfer RNA (71 nucleotides) under Bos taurus (domestic cattle). It matches the Rfam family "tRNA". From Rfam's summary of the family: Transfer RNA (tRNA) molecules are approximately 80 nucleotides in length. Their secondary structure includes four short double-helical elements and three loops (D, anti-codon, and T loops). Lineage: Eukaryota; Metazoa; Chordata; Mammalia; Artiodactyla; Bovidae. RNAcentral also lists the same sequence under 1 other name. The record is from Rfam by way of RNAcentral.
UCCCCAGUGACUUGGCGGUAAAGGAUCUGCCUGCAGUGCAGAAGCCACAGGUUCAAUCCCUGGGUGGGGAA